Molecule: ribosomal RNA, 497 nt
Filed under: uncultured bacterium
Lineage: Bacteria
Description: partial 16S ribosomal RNA
Rfam family: Bacterial small subunit ribosomal RNA
Source: RNAcentral
GAUGAACGCUGGCGGCGUGCCUAAUACGUGCAAGUCGAGCGAACAGACGAGGAGCUUGCUCCUCUGACGUUAGCGGCGGACGGGUGAGUAACACGUGGAUAACCUACCUAUAAGACUGGGAUAACUUCGGGAAACCGGAGCUAAUACCGGAUAAUAUAUUGAACCGCAUGGUUCAAUAGUGAAAGACGGUUUUGCUGUCACUUAUAGAUGGAUCCGCGCCGCAUUAGCUAGUUGGUAAGGUAACGGCUUACCAAGGCAACGAUGCGUAGCCGACCUGAGAGGGGGAGAGGCAAAAAGGGAAAGGAGACACGGAGAAGAAGACGAAGGGAGGCAGCAGGGGGGAAGAGUGGAAAAGGGGAGAAAGCCUGAUAAAGCAAUACCGAGGGAGUGAAGAAGGAUGAAGGAUUGUAAAGACCUUUGAUUGGGAAAGAAAAGAAGCAGGAUAAAAACCCGAUGUUCGGACGGUACCCAAAGAAUAAGCAACGGCUAACUUCGUG